UGGGGACAGAGAGGGAGGAAGCAACUGUCUGGUUUUUUCAACACUUUUAAUUAGGGACUGCGUAGACCAUGAAGAAAAUGAGAAUUUCCUUGUCAAAGGUGAGGCUGAGACACAAAGCAAUUUGGAAGAAGAUGAUGGCCAGAAGCUAACAAAGGGAACCUGGAUUCAUUCCAAGAUGUGCUACUAAACUGUGAGCUCCCCAGUUUCAUUAAGGUGCCUGGUAGGUACAAGUGGAAAACUUGGAGCAGGCUCUGAGAAGAGCAGUACGUGGG
Molecule: long non-coding RNA, 272 nt
Organism: Hirundo rustica (Barn swallow)
Lineage: Eukaryota; Metazoa; Chordata; Aves; Passeriformes; Hirundinidae
Exons: 3
Source: RefSeq, a predicted model, not a curated record